Molecule: non-coding RNA, 158 nt
Organism: Triticum urartu
Lineage: Eukaryota; Viridiplantae; Streptophyta; Magnoliopsida; Poales; Poaceae
Source: Rfam
CUAGUACUCCCUCCGUCCCAAAAUUCUUGUCUUAGAUUCGUCUAGAUACGGAUGUUCCGUCCCAAAAUUCUUGUCUUAGAUUCGUCUAGAUACGGAUGUAUCUAAUUCCGUAUCUAGACGAAUCUAAGACAAGAAUUUUGGGACGGAGGAAGUAGUAA